AGAGUUUGAUCAUGGCUCAGAUUGAACGCUAGCGGGAUGCCUUACACAUGCAAGUCGAACGGCAGCACGGACUUCGGUCUGGUGGCGAGUGGCGAACGGGUGAGUAAUGUAUCGGAACGUGCCUAGUAGCGGGGGAUAACUACGCGAAAGCGUAGCUAAUACCGCAUACGCCCUUCGGGGGAAAGCAGGGGAUCGUAAGACCUUGCACUAUUAGAGCGGCCGAUAUCGGAUUAGCUAGUUGGUGGGGUAACGGCUCACCAAGGCGACGAUCCGUAGCUGGUUUGAGAGGACGACCAGCCACACUGGGACUGAGACACGGCCCAGACUCCUACGGGAGGCAGCAGUGGGGAAUUUUGGACAAUGGGGGAAACCCUGAUCCAGCCAUCCCGCGUGUGCGAUGAAGGCCUUCGGGUUGUAAAGCACUUUUGGCAGGAAAGAAACGUCCCGGGAUAAUACCCCGGGAAACUGACGGUACCUGCAGAAUAAGCACCGGCUAACUACGUGCCAGCAGCCGCGGUAAUACGUAGGGUGCAAGCGUUAAUCGGAAUUACUGGGCGUAAAGCGUGCGCAGGCGGUUCGGAAAGAAAGAUGUGAAAUCCCAGAGCUUAACUUUGGAACUGCAUUUUUAACUACCGAGCUAGAGUGUGUCAGAGGGAGGUGGAAUUCCGCGUGUAGCAGUGAAAUGCGUAGAUAUGCGGAGGAACACCGAUGGCGAAGGCAGCCUCCUGGGAUAACACUGACGCUCAUGCACGAAAGC
RNAcentral lists this ribosomal RNA (757 nucleotides) under Alcaligenes faecalis. Its description in RNAcentral is "bacterial SSU rRNA". It matches the Rfam family "Bacterial small subunit ribosomal RNA", at positions 8 to 760 of the family's 1533-position model. Lineage: Bacteria; Pseudomonadati; Pseudomonadota; Betaproteobacteria; Burkholderiales; Alcaligenaceae. The record is from RNAcentral.